AGUGAACGCUGGCGGUAGGCCUAACACAUGCAAGUCGAACGGCAGCACAGUAAGAGCUUGCUCUUACGGGUGGCGAGUGGCGGACGGGUGAGGAAUACAUCGGAAUCUACUUUUUCGUGGGGGAUAACGUAGGGAAACUUACGCUAAUACCGCAUACGACCUACGGGUGAAAGCAGGGGAUCUUCGGACUUUGCGCGAUUGAAUGAGCCGAUGUCGGAUUAGCUAGUUGGCGGGGUAAAGGCCCACCAAGGCGACGAUCCGUAGCUGGUCUGAGAGGAUGAACAGCCACACUGGAACUGAGACACGGUCCAGACUCCUACGGGAGGCAGCAGUGGGGAAUAUUGGACGAUGGGCGCAAGCCUGAUCCAGCCAUACCGCGUGGGUGAAGAAGGCCUUCGGGUGGUAAAGCCCUUUUGUUGGUAAAGAAAAGCAGCAGGUUAAUACCCCGCUGUUCUGACGGUACCCAAAGAAUAAGCACCGGCUAACUUCGUG
This 492-nucleotide ribosomal RNA is filed under the name uncultured bacterium. RNAcentral describes it as "partial 16S ribosomal RNA". It matches the Rfam family "Bacterial small subunit ribosomal RNA", at positions 29 to 507 of the family's 1533-position model. The record is from RNAcentral.